This 97-nucleotide small nuclear RNA is filed under the name Microcebus murinus (gray mouse lemur). The record is from RNAcentral. Lineage: Eukaryota; Metazoa; Chordata; Mammalia; Primates; Cheirogaleidae.
GUGCUUGCUUCGGCAGCACAUAUACUAAAAUUGGAACAACACAGAAAGGAUUAGCAUGGCCUCUGCACAUGGAUGACACAAAAAGAAAAAUAAUUAA